UGGUAGUNCACGCCGUAAACGCUGAGUGCUAGGUGUUAGGUCCUUUCCGGGACUUAGUGCCGACGCUAACGCAUUAAGCACUCCGCCUGGGGAGUACGACCGCAAGGUUGAAACUCAAAGGAAUUGACGGGGGCCCGCACAAGCGGUGGAGCAUGUGGUUUAAUUCGAAGCAACGCGAAGAACCUUACCAGGUCUUGACAUCCCGAUGCCCGCUCUAGAGAUAGAGUUUUACUUUUUGUACAUCGGAGACAGGUGGUGCAUGGUUGUCGUCAGCUCGUGUCGUGAGAUGUUGGGUNNNNNNNNNNNNNCGAGCGCAACCCUUAUUGUUAGUUGCCAUCAUUAAGUUGGGCACUCUAGCGAGACUGCCGGUAAUAAACCGGAGGAAGGUGGGGAUGACGUCAAAUCAUCAUGCCCCUUAUGACCUGGGCUACACACGUGCUACAAUGGUUGGUACAACGAGUCGCAAGCCGGUGACGGCAAGCUAAUCUCUGAAAGCCAAUCUCAGUUCGGAUUGUAGGCUGCAACUCGCNUACAUGAAGUCGGAAUCGCUAGUAAUCGCGGAUCAGCACGCCGCGGUGAAUACGUUCCCGGGCCUU
RNAcentral lists this ribosomal RNA (596 nucleotides) under uncultured bacterium. RNAcentral's name for it is "partial 16S ribosomal RNA". It matches the Rfam family "Bacterial small subunit ribosomal RNA", at positions 788 to 1382 of the family's 1533-position model. The record is from RNAcentral.